AUUUGAAAGUGAUUGAGAAGGCAGAGAUAGCUUACAUUAUGAAGUUGAUUAUGCACAUUUGUAAAGGUGUAUGAACACAACUUUCAAAGCUAAAUUUUUUCUUUUAUUUUUUUAAAACAACAUUUGCUCAAUUUUUUUUCUUCAAAAUGUGCAUAAGUAGUUUUUAGCCUUCUUGUUGUAGUAAGUAGCCCUAAAAUGCUAAAAUAAGUAAUUUUAGGCUUGUUGGUAUACAUAUGCUAAUAUUUAGUAAGUACCCUUAAGAUGAGAAUUUGGUGUUUUCUAACUAAAGCAGGCAGAUAGAAUAUAGAACAAAAUAAGUAACAAAAUAAGAAAUAAAAAAACAAAAAAGCAUAGCAUAUAAAGCACUUCUAAAAAAGUGCAUACUAACAAAAUAGGCACAAACAUCACUGAUACAAUAUGCAUUUGCUAGUGCAUAUUGUAAGAAACUGUUUUCAAAAAACAAAGAAACUGUUUUCAAAAAAAAAAACACAUUGAUACACACAGUAGUGCAUAUUGAAGAAAAUUAAUUCAAAUUGAAGAAAAUUAGAUUUUCUGCUGUUUAAUGAGAACAACCUUAGAUCUCUUAACUUCUUUGCUUGAUGAGAAUUGGUCUAGUAUGCUCUUAGUCGCUCCAUACUCCACUGGUUCAUCAUUGUCAUCCAACCUUAGCUUUUCACUGUUUGGCAUAUAAGAACUUCUAACUUCAUCCCAAGAUUCACUCUCCCGUUUCCCAAAAAAAUAAAAAAAAUUAGUUAGACAAUGAAUUAAUAAAAUAACUAAGUGAAUAGAUCAGGUAUGUACCUCAGACUCCUGCUCUUGACUCAGACUCCUGCUCUUGAUCUUCUUCAUCAAGCAUCCUAGAGAGAUGGUCAUGAUCAUCAUUCAAAGAAGGGCAGUAUAUUUCAACAAUUAAGGUAUAUAAAUAAAAACAGUGUACACUGGAAAGUUGAGACAAUAGAUUAAAAAAAAUUCAAACUGGAAAUCUGAAACAAUAAAUUAAAACAUAUCAAUCAAUUCCUUAUUUGGAACACUUUCAAAUUAGGUUCAACUUCUGACUUGCUAGCUUCACUGAUAGUUUGAUUAGUGUUCAACCUUCACUGUUUGUAGCUGGAUUAGGAUACCAUUUAAGACUUAAAUAUCUUGAUUCCUCCAAACUGUGAGUGACUAAUGGCAAGAAGCUUGAAUACUAUAUAGACCUGUUUCCUGUAGAAUGGUAUACACUGCAAUGCUGCAUAGUUCUCUGCUUCUUAAGACUAUACAGAAAAAAAAAUUAAAGUUAAUUAAUGUAGAGUUGAUAUUAGUAAGUCGUUAUAAAUUGCUGUUAAUUUAUCUUUUUCAUUGAUUGCUUACCUCAACUUUCCAUGUGUGUAAAUACUUCGGAAUGUCUUCCAAUGCUUCACAGUACUUUUCAUCACAUUCAGACAUCUGUUGCAUUUGCGUGUUUAUUUCUUCAUCUCUGUCUCUAGUAUUGCGUGUUUAUUUGGUAAAUAUUUUAUGCACUUAUCUCUCGAUUUACAUUUAGUACAGUAGUAUAUUUCCAGCUCUGCAAAUUUUAUUUUAUUUUAUUCUGUAGAGUAACAAAAUGGCGAUAGAUCAAGUUGAAAUCCUAGAUCUGGAUCAUGCAUGAGGGUAGUUGGUUUUUUGGUGCAGUUCUCUUAUAGAUCUGGAUCAUGCACGAGGUUAAAGGACUUCAAUUGGCGAUGGGCAUAGAGUAUACAAUUGGGCAAAUUGGACUCAAAGGAGUAUAAAAUUCCAGGUACUAAACUUCCCUAAGAAAAAUGCAGAAUCACUGAGAUGGAAGUAUAACAUAGUAUUUGUCUGCUUCCUACAGAGGCA
Molecule: long non-coding RNA, 1836 nt
Organism: Ipomoea nil (Japanese morning glory)
Lineage: Eukaryota; Viridiplantae; Streptophyta; Magnoliopsida; Solanales; Convolvulaceae
Exons: 3
Source: RefSeq, a predicted model, not a curated record